RNAcentral lists this unclassified non-coding RNA (251 nucleotides) under Hevea brasiliensis (rubber tree). Lineage: Eukaryota; Viridiplantae; Streptophyta; Magnoliopsida; Malpighiales; Euphorbiaceae. The record is from RNAcentral.
AAAGGCUCAUUGAUUUUAGCUCGAGGAAGAAAACAUUCAAAUUUAUACGUGACACAAGGAUCGAUUCUUGGUGACUCUAUAAAUUUGGUGGAGAGCGAGACUUUAUCAGAAUUGUGGCACAAGAGGCUUAGUCAUAUGAGCGAGAGGGGGAUCACCUGUUUGGCUAAGAAGAAUUUGCUUGCUGGUAUGAAACAAGCAAAGGUGAAAAAAUGUGUCCCUUGCUUAGCAGGGAAAUAGAAAAGAGUUUCUUU